RNAcentral lists this transfer RNA (77 nucleotides) under Nesterenkonia sp. PF2B19. RNAcentral's name for it is "tRNA-Arg". It matches the Rfam family "tRNA". Rfam says of the family: Transfer RNA (tRNA) molecules are approximately 80 nucleotides in length. Their secondary structure includes four short double-helical elements and three loops (D, anti-codon, and T loops). The record is from RNAcentral. Lineage: Bacteria; Bacillati; Actinomycetota; Actinomycetes; Micrococcales; Micrococcaceae.
GCGCCUAUAGCUCAGCUGGAUAGAGCGUCGGUCUACGGAACCGAAGGUCUGGGGUUCGAAUCCCUAUGGGCGCACCG